GUGGGGAAUAUUGCACAAUGGGGGAAACCCUGAUGCAGCGACGCCGCGUGAGUGAAGAAGUAUUUCGGUAUGUAAAGCUCUAUCAGCAGGGAAGAAGUUGACGGUACCUGAGUAAGAAGCCCCGGCUAACUACGUGCCAGCAGCCGCGGUAAUACGUAGGGGGCAAGCGUUAUCCGGAUUUACUGGGUGUAAAGGGAGCGUAGACGGCAGUGCAAGUCUGAAGUGAAAGCCCCGGGCUUAACCCGGGAACUGCUUUGGAAACUGUACGGCUGGAGUGCUGGAGAGGUAAGCGGAAUUCCUAGUGUAGCGGUGAAAUGCGUAGAUAUUAGGAGGAACACCAGUGGCGAAGGCGGCUUACUGGACAGUAACUGACGUUGAGGCUCGAAAGCGUGGGGAGCAAACAGGA
This 406-nucleotide ribosomal RNA is filed under the name uncultured bacterium. Its description in RNAcentral is "bacterial SSU rRNA". It matches the Rfam family "Bacterial small subunit ribosomal RNA", at positions 354 to 777 of the family's 1533-position model. The record is from RNAcentral.